AUGGCUCGGUCAGUUCACCUCUUAGUAGGACUUGUGAUUGGGCAAGUAAGGUCUAAUAGCCGCUACUGGAAGUUCUUUGUCCUUUCAGCAAGUCUCCGGGUAAAGAGAGAGGGAUUGCUCGGCAGGGAAGACGGGAGAAUAUCCAAAUCAAAGACAGGCACUCGACUCUAUAUACAAGAAAAUAGUGAACUAAGGGGAUCACAACAGCGAAGGGGGCCAAUCGAGGAGACUGGAGGAGCUGGAUGCAGCGAUUCGGAAGUAGCGAAUCGUCUUCUUUGCAGUUUUUCAGGGGAUUGGCUAUCAAGCUAG
Non-coding RNA from Vicia faba (fava bean), 309 nucleotides. Lineage: Eukaryota; Viridiplantae; Streptophyta; Magnoliopsida; Fabales; Fabaceae. The record is from the annotation of a GenBank genome assembly.